GUACUCGCUCCAGCAGCACAUACACUGAAAUUGGAAUGAUACAGAGAAGAUUAGCACUGCC
RNAcentral lists this small nuclear RNA (61 nucleotides) under Prolemur simus (greater bamboo lemur). The record is from RNAcentral. Lineage: Eukaryota; Metazoa; Chordata; Mammalia; Primates; Lemuridae.